RNAcentral lists this long non-coding RNA (557 nucleotides) under Marmota monax (woodchuck). Lineage: Eukaryota; Metazoa; Chordata; Mammalia; Rodentia; Sciuridae. The record is from RNAcentral.
UGGGAAUGCUAUUUAACAUGUUUGGUGGUGGAAUCACUAGAGUACAUAAGUUAAUCUCAGGAGCAGAACUUUAAACUCAAAAGUUGUAUUAGUAAUUUACAUGUAAAGUAAACAAUAACAUAACCAUAUUGUUAGUAUGUAAGACAUAAAUUCUGUGUAGACUUAUGAAAUUAUGUUAAAAGGUAACAUAUGCAGAUGGUGAAAGGAGAUGGACAUCAUUACCCUAGGUACAUGUAUAAUUGCAUGAAUGGUGUGUCUCUACACUGUGUACAACCAGAGAAUUGAAAUGUUUUUGCACCCCAUUUGUGUACGAUGAAUUGAAAUGCAUUCUGCUGUCAUAUACAACUAAGUAGAACAAAUAAGAAGAAAUUUUUUUAAAAAGGUAACAUAUACAGUUUAUCUCAACAUUUAGUUGGUGCUUACUAUAUUACCAGGUGCUGGGUCAAAUGUGAAGGAGUACAUUUUAAGUAAAACAAAGUCAUCAUCCUUGAAGCAUUUACAGAGUAUGUUACAGGAGGAGGAAAAAGCACUUCAGCCACUGGGAUAUGGGAAAUAUC